CUCCCGCGGCGCCGACUGGAGCUCCAGAGCCCCUCCCGUCUCUACCUGCUCGAGCUCCCGAAGUCGCCGCGCCUUAACGCGCCGUGUCGGGGCCGCAGGCGCCACUAGGGAAGCCCAGCUCCCCGCUGGAAGGACGCUCCGGACACUGCGAAUGAAUGACGACAACGCGGCUCACUUGGAGCGGGUCCGGGUUUGUGCGGACUCGGUACCACCGCGGGCUCCGCGCGCCGAGCUGAGCAGCUGUGGCUGGCUUCGGGGGAACCUUCGGGGGAAGCUCCUGGGGACCGUGUGCCAAGCACUGGGCCCGACGCCCAUCCCAGCAGGGAGGACGCCGCCAGCCUGCGUGGGUGCGUGUGUGCUGUUUGUGUUUAAGGUUGACGCUCUAUGGUCUAGCGCCACCCCUUUUCCCAGGAAAAGUGUUUCAAGGUUCCAGACCUGGAGCUCGGUUAGAGACCCGGGGUCGGAAGCCAACGCAGCCAAUGGUCUUCGAUGUUUUUGUUUCCUGCAUCCCCAGGGCAAGUCAUGCGCUAAACUUGUCACCGCUUGUGACCCCUCCCCCUCUCCAUUCCAUUGUAAUUAAAGUGGCCUAGCUAAGUGCAUUACAUCACUUCUUUCCUUGACCUGUAGGGCGUGAGCAAUAGAGAAGUUGGAAGCGGCCCAAAAGCUUAGACCAACUAAUUCACACCACAGCUGUUCCUAUAUCGCAUUUGGGGCUUCGAAAACUGGGCAUGGCAGAAUUUUAAAAUUUAUCCACUCUUGGUAGAUGGAUUUUUUUUUUUAAUCAGUGAAACCAGAAACACACAAACCAGGGCAGCUUUAUCCCUAGACAGUUUCAGUUUCCCCAAAUACUUCGAGCUUCCAGUGGUGAUCACAGCCCAUCUGCCUACAUAUCUGAUGACCAUUUUUUUUUCCUCCCGCCCAGGAGAUCUGGAGGAUAGUUCAGCCAAAAAAAAAAAAAAAAAAAAAAAGGUUCCUCUUCCCAAAUGAUGGGAAUUUAGCAGACUCUGCUUUGUUGUGGAUGCUGGGCAAUCCUAGGGACUUUUCCCUUUCCAAAUGAGCAAAGAUUCAAAUGAAACCUUCUUGUGUGGGCUUCAAAAUUGUGACUUUUGUAGCUCCGACUUGAAUUGUUGAAUUCCUUCAAUUAGUCGAAUGAGCAAAUCACCAGCCAUUCUAAUGAGACUGCCAUUUCAUCUGUUCGCUUCCUACCGCUUGGGCUCUCAAGGAAUGGAAGUUUCCCUUGAUGUUACCACACAGACUGAUCUGCCUCUUCCAGGCAUCAGUGGAAACCUCAUGUAUUUAACACAGACUCAAAAAACUCAUUUGGCACUUUUGGUCACAGUGCAGUGCCUUCAGUCACAAAAUCUGCAAAUAAAAAGCAAACAAUAAGA
Molecule: long non-coding RNA, 1388 nt
Filed under: Pan troglodytes (chimpanzee)
Lineage: Eukaryota; Metazoa; Chordata; Mammalia; Primates; Hominidae
Description: lincRNA
Source: RNAcentral